GCUCAGAUUGAACGCUGGCGGCAGGCCUAACACAUGCAAGUCGAACGGUAAUAGGAAGAAGCCUUGCUUUGCUGACGAGUGGCGGACGGUGAGUAAUGUCUGGAAACUGCCUGAUGGAGGGGAUAACUACUGGAAACGGUAGCUAAUACCGCAUAACGUCGCAAGACCAAAGAGGGACCUUCGGGCCUCUUGCCAUCGGAUGUGCCCAGAUGGGAUUAGCUAGUAGGUGGGGUAACGGCUCACCUAGGCGACGAUCCCUAGCUGGUCUGAGAGGAUGACCAGCCACUGAACUGAGACACGGUCUAGACUCUACGGAGGCAGCAGUGGGGAAUAUUNNGCACAAUGGGCGCAAGCCUGAUGCAGCCAUGCCGCGUGUAUGAAGAAGGCCUUCGGGUUGUAAAGUACUUUCAGCGGGAGGAAGGAGUAAAGUACCUUUGCUCAUGACGUUACCCGCAGAAGCACCGGCUAACUCCGUGCCAGCAGCCGCGGUAAUACGGAGGUGCAAGCGUUAAUCGGAAUUACUGGGCGUAAAGCGCACGCAGGCGGUUUGUUAAGUCAGAUGUGAAAUCCCGGGCUCAACCUGGGAACUGCAUCUGAUACUGGCAAGCUUGAGUCUCGUAGAGGGGUAGAAUUCCAGGUGUAGCGGUGAAAUGCGUAGAGAUCUGGAGGAAUACCGGUGGCGAAGGCGGCCCCUGGACGAAGACUGACGCUCAGGUGCGAAAGCGUGGGGAGCAAACAGGAUUAGAUACCCUGGUAGUCCACGCCGUAAACGAUGUCGACUUNGGAGGUUGUGCCCUUGAGGCGUGGCUUCCGGAGCUAACGCGUUAAGUCGACCGCCUGGGAGUACGGCCGCAAGGUUAAAACUCAAAUGAAUUGACGGGGCCCACAAGCGGUGGAGCAUGUGGUUUAAUUCGAUGCAACGCGAAGAACCUACCUGUCUUGACAUCCACAGAACUUUCCAGAGAUGGAUUGGUGCCUUCGAACUGUGAGACAGGUGCUGCAUGGCUGUCGUCAGCUCGUGUUGUGAAAUGUUGUUAANUCGCAACAACCUUAUCUUUGCCNGAACUCAAAGGAACUGGAGGAAGGUGGGGAUGACGUCAAGUCAUCAUGGCCCUACGAUCAGGGCUACACGUGCUACAAUGGCGCAUACAAAGAGAAGCGACCUCGCAAGAGCAAGCGGACCUCAUAAAGUGCGUCGUAGUCCGGAUUGAGUNGCAACUCGACUCCAUGAAGUCGGAAUCUANUAAUCGUGGAUCAGAAUGCCACGGUGAAUACGUUCCGGCCUUGUACACACCGCCCGUCACACCAUGGGAGUGGGUUGCAAAGAAGUAGGUAGCUUAGCCUUCGGAGGGCGCUUACCACUUUGUGAUUCAUGACUGUGAAGUCGUAACAAGGUGACCGUAGGGCUGCGGUUG
Molecule: ribosomal RNA, 1415 nt
Filed under: metagenome
Description: bacterial SSU rRNA
Rfam family: Bacterial small subunit ribosomal RNA
Source: RNAcentral